GAUGAACGCUGGCGGCGUGCCUAAUACAUGCAAGUCGAGCGAACAGACGAGGAGCUUACUCCUCUGACGUUAGCGGCGGACGGGUGAGUAACACGUGGAUAACCUACCUAUAAGACUGGGAUAACUUCGGGAAACCGGAGCUAAUACCGGAUAACAUGUUGAACCGCAUGGUUCAACAGUGAAAGACGGUCUUGCUGUCACUUAUAGAUGGAACCGCGUCGCAUUAGCUAGUUGGUAAGGUAACGGCUUACCAAGGCAACGAUGCGUAGCCGACCUGAGAGGGUGAUCGGCCACACUGGAACUGAGACACGGUCCAGACUCCUACGGGAGGCAGCAGUAGGGAAUCUUCCGCAAUGGGCGAAAGCCUGACGGAGCAACGCCGCGUGAGUGAAGAAGGUCUUCGGAUCGUAAAACUCUGUUAUUAGGGAAGAACAAAUGUGUAAGUAACUAUGCACGUCUUGACGGUACCUAAUCAGAAAGCCACGGCUAACUACGUG
RNAcentral lists this ribosomal RNA (497 nucleotides) under uncultured bacterium. RNAcentral's name for it is "partial 16S ribosomal RNA". It matches the Rfam family "Bacterial small subunit ribosomal RNA", at positions 28 to 507 of the family's 1533-position model. The record is from RNAcentral.